GGCCCUGUAGUUCAACGGAUAGAACGGAAGUUUCCUAAACUUUAGAUGGGAGUUCGAUUCUCCCCGGGGUCA
This 72-nucleotide transfer RNA is filed under the name Porphyromonas sp. HMSC065F10. It matches the Rfam family "tRNA". Rfam says of the family: Transfer RNA (tRNA) molecules are approximately 80 nucleotides in length. Their secondary structure includes four short double-helical elements and three loops (D, anti-codon, and T loops). Further hydrogen bonds mediate the characteristic L-shaped molecular structure. tRNAs have two regions of fundamental functional importance: the anti-codon, which is responsible for specific mRNA codon recognition, and the 3' end, to which the tRNAs corresponding amino acid is attached (by aminoacyl-tRNA synthetases). tRNAs cope with the degeneracy of the genetic code in two manners: having more than one tRNA (with a specific anti-codon) for a particular amino acid; and 'wobble' base-pairing, i.e. permitting non-standard base-pairing at the 3rd anti-codon position. RNAcentral also lists the same sequence under 1 other name. Lineage: Bacteria; Pseudomonadati; Bacteroidota; Bacteroidia; Bacteroidales; Porphyromonadaceae. The record is from Rfam by way of RNAcentral.